This is a long non-coding RNA of Coffea eugenioides, 572 nucleotides long. RefSeq lists it as uncharacterized. The record is from RefSeq and is a predicted model, not a curated record. NCBI's taxonomy places the organism in Eukaryota, Viridiplantae, Streptophyta, Magnoliopsida, Gentianales, Rubiaceae. The transcript is spliced from 3 exons.
UUGACUUUGCAUUUUCUUUCUCUAUAAUGCCCUUGGUGGUCAGGUUUUGCCCGUAAAUUUGGAGACUUGUGUGUCCGUUUAUUAAUGUUUGGUUAGCCUUUCUUGUAAUUGUGACCAUGUUUGUGCCCUUUUAUUGUUCUUUUCCUUAACUUUAUCGGGAUUACCCGAUGGGGUGGAGCUCGAGGAGUCAGAAAUGCCCAUUUUUCCUCUCCUUUCUUCAUCGUUGUCUUACUCUUCAGCUCAUCUUCCCAUCAAUCAGCCUCUUAUUUGUCUCAUCUUCUUCCUCUUUUCUUUUCUUGGUUUUUUUUUUUUUUUGGAUUCUGACCGAGAGCAACAACAAGAACACAAUGGUCUGGACCUUUUUUUCCUUGUCCAAAAAUUUGGAAAUGUCUUCCAACAUUCAGCAUCCUGAUGAAAGUGAGAUUGUGUAAAUUUUUUUCCCAGGUGUAGAAGAAAUUAGAGUAUUACGGGUCUCCUCCGGCCUCAAGAGGGUUAAGAAAAUGGCAAACAAAAGCACGAGAACGGAAAGCCAGCGGUCCAAGCAGAAAAGAUUUUUUUUUUUUUAAAGAGAG